GUAUGAGUAUAGAUCAGAGGAGAUUUUAGUAUAUUAGGAAUAUCCAAAAAGUUGAGGGUUGGAGCCUUAGGUUCAUCUUCCAAAUUCACACAC
RNAcentral lists this transfer RNA (93 nucleotides) under Amborella trichopoda. RNAcentral describes it as "tRNA AMTR_s00035t00278270". Lineage: Eukaryota; Viridiplantae; Streptophyta; Magnoliopsida; Amborellales; Amborellaceae. The record is from RNAcentral.